AUAUGUAAUUUAAUACGAACUCAUAUAAUCCUGAUAAUUUGGUUCGGGAGUUUCUACGAAGCGGCCUUAACUGCUUAGCUAUGAGUGAAUAAUUUGCUGUU
Molecule: non-coding RNA, 101 nt
Filed under: Clostridium sp.
Lineage: Bacteria; Bacillati; Bacillota; Clostridia; Eubacteriales; Clostridiaceae
Also listed under: 1 other name
Description: Guanine sequence
Rfam family: Purine riboswitch aptamer
About the family: Riboswitches are metabolite binding domains within certain messenger RNAs that serve as precision sensors for their corresponding targets.
Source: RNAcentral